RNAcentral lists this ribosomal RNA (547 nucleotides) under Taiozyma bovis. Its description in RNAcentral is "LSU rRNA". It matches the Rfam family "Eukaryotic large subunit ribosomal RNA", at positions 62 to 605 of the family's 3401-position model. Lineage: Eukaryota; Fungi; Ascomycota; Saccharomycetes; Phaffomycetales; Wickerhamomycetaceae. The record is from RNAcentral.
AAACCAACAGGGAUUGCCUCAGUAACGGCGAGUGAAGCGGCAAAAGCUCAAAUUUGAAAUCUAGUACCCCUACCGAGUGCUCGAGUUGUAAUUUGAAGAUGGCAAACUUUGGUGGCUGGCCCUUGUCUAUGUUCCUUGGAACAGGACGUCACAGAGGGUGAGAAUCCCGUCUGACGAGGUGACCCAGCUGCCGUGUAAAGUGCUAUCGAAGAGUCGAGUUGUUUGGGAAUGCAGCUCUAAGUGGGUGGUAAAUUCCAUCUAAAGCUAAAUAUUGGCGAGAGACCGAUAGCGAACAAGUACAGUGAUGGAAAGAUGAAAAGAACUUUGAAAAGAGAGUGAAAAAGUACGUGAAAUUGUUGAAAGGGAAGGGUAUUAGAUCAGACUUGGCCACCCUACGAUUAUCUGCCCUUUGUGGGCAGUGCACUCGUGGGUGCUUGCUGGGCCAGCAUCGAUUCGGGCGGCAGGAUAAUGGCGAAAGAACGUGGCAUUGGCCUUCUAGGCGGAUGUGUUUAUAGCUUUCGCUGAUGCUGCCUGCCUGGAUCGAGGA